AGGCCAGACUCCUACGGGAGGCAGCAGUGGGGAAUAUUGCACAAUGGGGGAAACCCUGAUGCAGCGACGCCGCGUGAGCGAUGAAGUAUUUCGGUAUGUAAAGCUCUAUCAGCAGGGAAGAAGAUGACGGUACCUGACUAAGAAGCCCCGGCUAACUACGUGCCAGCAGCCGCGGUAAUACGUAGGGGGCAAGCGUUAUCCGGAUUUACUGGGUGUAAAGGGAGCGUAGACGGCGAUGCAAGCCAGAUGUGAAAGCCCGGGGCUCAACCCCGGGACUGCAUUUGGAACUGUGUGGCUGGAGUGUCGGAGAGGCAGGCGGAAUUCCUAGUGUAGCGGUGAAAUGCGUAGAUAUUAGGAGGAACACCAGUGGCGAAGGCGGCCUGCUGGACCGCGACUGACGUUGAGGCUCGAAAGCGUGGGGAGCGAACAGGAUUAGAUACCCUAGUAA
This 448-nucleotide ribosomal RNA is filed under the name uncultured bacterium. RNAcentral's name for it is "bacterial SSU rRNA". It matches the Rfam family "Bacterial small subunit ribosomal RNA", at positions 328 to 793 of the family's 1533-position model. The record is from RNAcentral.